GCCCGGGUAGGCUCAGUUGGUAGAGCAGCGGAUUGAAAAUCCGCGUGUCACUGGUUCGAUUCCGGUCCCGGGCACCA
Molecule: transfer RNA, 77 nt
Filed under: Devosia algicola
Lineage: Bacteria; Pseudomonadati; Pseudomonadota; Alphaproteobacteria; Hyphomicrobiales; Devosiaceae
Description: Devosia sp. G20-9 tRNA-Phe
Rfam family: tRNA
About the family: Transfer RNA (tRNA) molecules are approximately 80 nucleotides in length. Their secondary structure includes four short double-helical elements and three loops (D, anti-codon, and T loops).
Source: RNAcentral